RNAcentral lists this ribosomal RNA (292 nucleotides) under uncultured Glomus. RNAcentral's name for it is "partial small subunit ribosomal RNA". It matches the Rfam family "Eukaryotic small subunit ribosomal RNA", at positions 569 to 864 of the family's 1831-position model. The record is from RNAcentral. Lineage: Eukaryota; Fungi; Glomeromycota; Glomeromycetes; Glomerales; Glomeraceae.
AGCAGCCGCGGUAAUUCCAGCUCCAAUAGCGUAUAUUAAAGUUGUUGCAGUUAAAAAGCUCGUAGUUGAAUUUCGGGAUCAAUAAUGCUGGUCGUGCCAUUGGUACGUACUAGUAUUGUUGGUUUCUUCCUUCUGAUGAAUCAUGAUGUCAUUAAUUUGAUGUCAUGGGGAAUCAGGACUGUUACUUUGAAAAAAUUAGAGUGUUUAAAGCAGGCUCGCGCUUGAAUACAUUAGCAUGGAAUAAUGAAAUAGGACGUUUGAUUCUAUUUUGUUGGUUUCUAGGAUUGACGUA